UUGAAUGUGGUGUUGUUAAACAUUAGGUGGUUCUUGAUAUGAGCCCAAUGUGGUGGUAAAGAGUAAUAGUUUUGGGAUGAGAUUCCAUAUAGAGAGGUGUAGAAUCCGAACCUAAGGAUUUGGGUUAAGCUUGAAUAUAGUAAGAGCAUACCAUAAAAUGCAGACCUUAGUAAGAGUAGCCCAGUCCAUACCAGUCCAGUUGUCAUUCGAGGAGGAAUGAUCCCAAGGGGGAGAUAUUGUAACACCCCAGAAAAUUUUUGAGCUAAGACUUGAACCAUCCUUCGUUGUGAGUAGGAUUUUAUCGAGGAAAAUUAAAAUUUCUUGAGUAUUAAGGUCACUAGAUUUAUCACCUUGAGUUCGUAGAAGAACUAAAGAGAGUUCAUUCAAGUCAUUCCUAAGUUCCUUUAAGUUUUGGGUCAAAUUAAAACAACCAUAACAUUCAAUAGAGGAUGAUUUAGGUGGGCUAAAAGGUACUCAAUGAAAGGUAUUUCAAUUAUCUUUCCAACGCCGCCGAGUUUUCUAAUUUUUGAGUUCGUAUGAGUGAGAUAUGCCAUUUUGAAGUCAUGUUCUCCAGUUAAGGAAAGUAACCCGAAAAUAGUAAGGGGUAUUUUGGUCUUUUCCUUUCCCAAUAAGAUGUAAUUCGUUUUUAGUAAUGUUUUAGUUGUAUAAUCCUAUUAGGUUCAAUUUUAUAAUCCUAAUAUACACCUAGGGUUUUAGUUGACAGUUCAAUAAGAGAAAAGAAGAGAAAAAAGGAGAAAAGAGAAGAGGAUCAAAGCGUUCGUCGAGAGUCUUGUGUUUUAUUGCGGAUUUUUACCAUAGGUUUAAUCCCCAAGAGGUAUGUAAGCUUACAUAGUGUUCGGUUUGUUCACCCACACGCCAAUCAUGUUAUUUUCAGCGAAAUUUCAUUCUUGAAGUUGAAAAAUUUGAGUUCAUGAUGAGUUCUUGAGAAGUGUUCUUGAAGUUCAUCCUAAAUCUUGUUGUGUUGGGGGUUUUGAUGAUUUCUUGAGAUUAAAGUGAAUGUUUUAAGGGCUUUAUUGAGUAUAUUAGAGUGUAUUUAUGUUAAGUAAUCGAAUCCAAGUGAUUGGGGAACAAACCGUUCGAUUCCAGGCAAGUUAGGGUGAGAAAAUGAGCAAAGAAAUUCGUCGGGUUUUCUGGGUUGGGGCCUGGCGCGUCAUGCCAGCUAGAGAGCCCCAACUUAUGCUCUGAAGUUCAGGGGUUGGCACUCCAUGCCACUCAUAUCCCUAGGGUCACCUGCCUCAUCCAGUUUGCAAUUGGUUAUUCCGUUUGAGUUCUUUCGAGGGUACCUUCACUCCUUCUCAAUUCUAACUACUCUAAGAUACUUCUAAACACCUAGAAAUCAUUCAUAACAUGAUCAUAACCUUUAAUUCAUAAUUCAUUAUUCAAAUUCAAGGUAGAGUUAAGAGUUAAGUUUUUGAAAAUUCUUUCGAACAUUCUAAGAAAGUCCAUUUGAGUCCUUUUGUGGAGUCUUCUACAACUUCUAGUAACUUCUUACAAGACUCAAGUAAGUGAGCAUGAGAGUGAGGAGAAUGUAUUUAUGAGUCAAAACUAUCACCUAGAUCCUUCAUAUCAUGAACCAUAACUGUUGAAUUCAUAAUUCACAUUCAAGAGAGAGUCGAGAGUAGAGUUCAAGAAAGCCUUUGAGUUCAAUUGUGAAUCCUUUGAGAUCAACUAUCGAUUUGAGCUAAGUUUUAAGGAAGUAAGUAAGAGAAUGAGAAGAGUCAUAUACAUGAGUUCCAUGAUGUUUGUAAACCUUCGAGUCGAGUCGUUCAUGCCCAUAAAUUCCGCAUGGACUCCAUAAAUUGAGUAUCAUUGAGAGGAGUAUUAUCUUCAAGUUCUAAGUCUUGAGUAUUAAGUUCCUAAUCCCCUUUGAGAUUAUAUUUCUAAUCAUGGGACUAUUACAUGUUACCCAUGAAGUCAUUUAUUUGAAUUGUUCAUUCACAUAAUUCCGCAUGAACCCUAUAAGUCGAACAGUCUUGAGAUGAGAAGUAUCUUUGAGUCCUUGAGUUGAGUAGUUCAUGCUCAUAAUUCCGCAUGAACCAUCUGAGUUGAGCAUUCUUGAAAUGAGUUGUAUUAUUGAAGUUCUUUAGUUCCAAGUAUUAAGUUCUAUCUAUGGUUAUUGAAAACCUUGCAUUGAGUCGUUCACGUCCAUAAUUCAGCAUGAACCAUAUUUUAAGAAAUCUUUUACAAACGUUUAAACUUUGUUUUAACACUUAAGCUUUGAGUUGAGUAAAGAGUAAGAGUAAAGUUCAUUUCUUCAAAAAAAUUAUAUGGGAACUAAGUAUUCCCAAGAGUAAAUGUUUUUACAUUUAAGAUGAGAGGAAACUGAGAUUUCCAAAAGAGUCUUGAGCAAUUUGAGUAUCAUCUCUUUUAAUAGAUAGAUUUUUGAGUAAUUAUCUCAAACCACAGAAAAGUUAUGUUUCUAAAUAUAUGAGCUAGUAUAUUUUUGGGAGUAGUAUUGAGCACUGAUAUAGGGAGACUUCAUAUAACUCACAGUCCCCAUAAACCAUGUAGCCAUCAUGGGUAGAAAGGAUCAUACUUUUUAGAUGACUCCUUAGUGCUUUAUAGCAUAGACUAGUGGAUCCACUUAGUUAAGGCGUUCUAUAUGACGGCAAAGUAUAGGACAGUUCUGGCAGCGUGGGCAAGAUGUUGUAUCAUCACUUAGGCUCAUAGUGGUGGUUGUCGGUUAGAGAAACUACCAUAGACUUAUAUUGUACUUUUAUAUAAACAUUAAGUAUUAUUGUAUUUUUCAAUGCAUUGAGUUGCUAUCUACAGUUUUACAGCUUUCCAUAUAUAUGGCAUCUUUUACUAUUGAUUUAUCCUUGAGUAUCAUGAGUUGAGUAUCUUGAGUUAAUUUGUGCUUCAUUGAGUCGAGUACCUUAUUGUUGAGUUUCACUAAGUUGAGAACCUUAUUGCUGAUUUAAGUAUCUUAUCCCUGAGUACUUCUUAGUUGAGUAUGUUUGAGUAGUUUUGAGUACUCUUAAGUAUUCCUUGAGUUGAGGUGAACCAUGUUUCUUUGAGUUGAGUUGAGUUGAGUGAGUUGAGAAGAGGUAAGUAUGUUUCCUUUUUAUCAAGUUCAAGCUUAUGUUUAUACUUUAAAAUUCCCCUUACAUGCCCGUACAUUCCAUAUACUGAGCCAUUUGGCCUACAUCCUUUCAUGAUACAGAUUAAGGUAUUCGGGAUCAUCAACAGGAGCUUCGUUGAUACCACAUGGAGUUCGAGUUAACUAUGGUGAGCCUCCCUGCUUUCGGAGGAUUUCAUUUUCUUUUCAAUUUUGUCAGGAUGUCGUGGGUUUUGUCCCGACUUCCAUCUUUGUCAUUUAGAAGCUUCAUAGACAGAAAGUAGAGUUUCAGAAGUUUGUUCAUUUAUUUUGUUAAAUGUUUUAAAGACUUAAGUUGCCUAUUUUUUAGCGAGUUGAAUAACUUAUUUUUAUUCAGAGUUUUUCAUUUGAGUUAAAGCUUUGUAUUUGAGUUUCAUGAAUUAUAUUCGAUUUUUAAGCUUUUGAAUGCUUAAGUUAGUCUUCCACUUGUAGUCAGCCAGGAUGAAGGUUUACUUGGGGACCAGCAAUGGUUCUCGAGUUCCGGCCACGUCCAGGGUGUAGACUCAGGUCGUGACAAAUGGUCCUCUCAUGAAACCCAAUUCAAUGGUCCUCUCAUAGAACCCAUACCCAAACUGUUUGUGUAUCGGAACGUGGUACCCGAUUACAAUUAGUGUGCCGGACAUGACACCCGAUCCCAUAUCUGCGCCGAAACAUGGCACCCGAUCCAAGUUAGUGUGUCAAAACGUGAUACCCGAUCCAAUAUAUAUGUUGGUACGUGACAUCUAAUCCCAGUUAUUGUGUCGGAACGUGACACCCGAUCCAUUCAACAAGCCACAUUCACAAUCACAAUGUAGAUUCUCAUAAUAAUACAAUCAAGUGUUGAUUCAUGGUAUACAAUCAUUCGUUCAUACUUAAUUACAUUAGGUGUGAUCAAUAGGCUUCAUUCACAUAUAUAUACAUGCAUUACAAUGAAGCAAUUACUAACAUACAUCACACAAAACAUGAAAUCACAGUCAUCACCUACCUCGAAACCAAGCUUAAAUCCUUCUAAGACACUUGAGCCUUCCUUUUCCGGAUUCUUUCCGCUUGUUCGUGGUCUAAAAACAUACAAUUAACACAAGGAUCAAUAAACGAGGCCUAAUUACCCAGACUAUAAUCAACAUUAUCAACCCUAGGCAAACCGAAGAUCCCAAUACCCAAAUUUGGGUUUUUUCCACCCUUAACUUCAUAUCAAAACCUUCCCCCAUUGAUAAUUAUCCAAGAAACUACGUUCUACAUGUCACGACCCAGGGCUACCCUCUAGACGUAAUACGGCGUACGCGACCCCAAAGGGGUCUCAUACAAGCCUCAUAGCAUUCUUGAAACAUAGGAAAAUAGAGCGAAAUUUAAAACUUUUCUUUACAAUCGAAGUCUUUUAUAAAAUGAGAGAGAGUCUAUAACACUAUGUCUCAAACCAUCUAAAAUACUUGAAUACAACUUAGGGACACAUCCCUUACAUAAGUCUAAAACAUAAAACAAAUACAUAAAUGACAUAUGGUCAAGCCCUCGAAUACUAUGAGGACUCGCCUAUCUUCUUCUUCUUGAUCUACUAUGGUCCUAGCCACGAGGGUAGAAUCCGAUAUCUCCAAACCCUACACUUAUAGAAAAUGUAUGAAGUAUGGAAGCCAUGCAUAAAAAUCCUUAAAACAUGCAUAAAAGGGACAUUUUAUUUGAAACCAUGCUAUAUGCCACUUUGAACAUCAUCUUUGAAAUAGUUGGAGAAUGUAGCUCAUAAGACAAAUCAUGUACAAUUCAUCAUAGCAUAAAGGAUACCAUCAUAAUCACAAGCAUAGUCUCCAACGUAAACAUAAUGCAUACUCCAAUCUUCACAAGACAUAGUUCAUAUACAUAGUUACAUACCAAGAUCAUCUCAUCAUAAUAAAACUACCAUAUAAGCAACCCUAAGCUAUACAUGUGCAAUGCAUAGAUAGGAUCCCAUAAUCCUAUCUACACUAAGUAUCACUUUAAGGCCACCAUAAUCAUGCAUAACAUUGACCUUAUCCAUAGCCAACACUCAUAGACAAGGCGACACUCAUGUUCAUAACUUGUAUUAAGUAAAGUCACUCAUAGCAACAAUCCAUAUCAUGCAUACAUAAGUUCAUAUAUCUUCAUAGCAUAAGGAAACCACACCAUAACCCCUUUAUAAGUCUACUUGUGCAAUGUAUAAGUGAAGUCUUAUACCUCCACUCACACUAAGUAAAGCUCAUUAAGAAGUCAUAAAUAUAGUUCAUGUUCAUGUUCAUAAUUCAUAAUAAAGCAUGCAUUAACUCAUAGUCAUCAAGUCAUAAGGAAACCUACCAUGCCCACUCUCAAAGCCUACUUGUACAAUGCAUGAAUGAAGUUCAAUACCCCUAUUCACACUAAGUAGAACCUCUUGAGGAACCAUAGUAAAUAACCCAUGUUCUUGUUCAUAGUUCAUAUUCUUGUUCUUGAUCAUGUCAUGGUUCAUGUUCUUGUUCAUGUAGGGAAAUAGUCUUAACCGACAUAGACCAUGUGACCUACAUGAAAUUCGGUGUCAUGCCCCACACUGAAAAGAGGUGUCCUACUUGCCUAUGGUAGAACUAACAUGUUUAGCUUUUAGGUGGAUCCACUAGCUAAAGACCUAUGUGGGCACAUAGUUAUGGGAUAAGGAGAUUGCUACUAGAAACCCAGACUGACUGACGUAGAAGGUUUCCAUCUCAUGAGAUAACAUGUUUUGGGAACCCGGACUGACUAGCAAAAAGGAACCCAUUGGGAAGCCAGACUAACUAGCGUAAAAGCUUCCAUCUCAUUUCCAUAUCCACUCGGUGCUAAGCAUAAUUCCCUUUAAGUUCAUGUUAAGUCUUUACUUAAGUUCACGUUUAUGAAGGGUGACUUAACACUCAAUCCAAUACAACAUCAUGAUAUAGCUCAUAGAUUCAUUAGGUGAGAAUGGCCUUUCAACCUUAGAAUCAUUAAUAUGUGAGUAAACCUUUCACAUCGUGUUCAUAGUGUUAAUAAGAAUAGCCUUUCAAUCAACACAACAACAUUAUCAUAGUCCUAGACAAUUCAUGCAUAGUCAUGUGUAAGGGUAAGGAGAGAAUGACCUUUCAACAACUACCACAAUUACACAAUAGUCAUAGGAUCUUCACUUUCUAAGUGAAUCAUGAAUUCAUACACAAUUCUUGUCAACAUGUACAAACCUUCAUAAUUUACCCUUCAAGGGCUAUGAAUCAACUCAACCCAAACAUCUAGAAUUAGCACAUUAGAUAAAGGCAAUAUCAAGAUUCAAUAAUACAAUUAAUAUAUUAGUCAUAUCUUAGUCAUGUUCAUGCAUGGGUGUGUGUGUGAUUGUCCUUCCAAUGACACAACAAUAACAUAAUCAUAGACACUUUACUCUCAAAGUAUUCAUAAACAUGCACAUAAUAUCAUAAUCAUACAUACUCUUCAUAUCUUGCAUUCAAGGAUCAUAGAUCAUGAUAAGUCAACACAUCUAGCAUUUACUAUAUUAGACAUGGAUAGAAUCAUGACUCAAGUAAAACAUUCAUUUUAUGCAUAAACUCAUGUGAUCAUAUUAUAGGUCAUGUGGGUGAAGUCUUUUCACAAUUAUGCCAUAUACAACUCAAUAUACAUAAUAGCUUCUUUCUUAAAGCCUUGACAUCCUUAGCUUAUUCACUUUAGCUUUUACCUUUAAAGCCCUAGGAGUCAUCUUCAUGUCACAAGCCUUACUCUCAAGCAAUGCCUCACAUGUUCAUUAUGUAUACCUAGUUCUCAAGGUAAACUAACCACAUGCCUCAUUCUUGAUCAAUUAUAGUCAUAUAGGAGACAUAUAAACUCAAUCUCAAUACUACACAACCAUGAUCCCUCACAUAAGCCCUAAUCAAAUCAAUUCAUGUCUUGAAGAUUUACCCUUAAUCAAUUCAUGUCUAGGUCAGCUAAUCUAAGGCAAUUCAUAACGAAGUUCAUCAUUCUUGGAAGGUCACAUGUAAACCCUCAAUUUACCUCUUUCAUGUCAUGAUACUAGACUAUAUCAAUUUUACUAUAUACCCUUAGGUUAAUCAAGGAUACAUGUUUGAUUAUACUAGAUCAUGUAAUUACACCAAGAACAACCAUUAAUCACAUAAUUGGGUCCAAUAUUCAACAAUUCCCACAUCAUGAAGUCAAUUUAGUAAAGUGGGGGAAAUCAUGGGUCCAAGGGGAGAUUUUCAUCAUAAUUCAACAAUACCCCAUUAAUCCAAUCAUAAUUCAUCAUAAUCAACCAUAAUAAACCAUAAUUAAACAAUUGAAAUAGUUUUGGAAGAAGACCCAUGACAUAGAUUAAAACCCUAGGUUUUUGGGGGAUUUUGGAAACUUCAAAUCAUCUUUUGAAAUGGAUCCUUGAUUGAAACUUAAUCAAGGAUGAAUACUAACAUACCUUGACUGGAGAUCCUUAAAGAAAUUGGAGAAUAAAGGCUGCUCCUUGAACCCUAAGCUUGACCUUGUUCUUGUUCUUCAAUGGAGGUUUCUAGAAAAAAGAUUUUUGGAGAGGAGGGGUGGUUAUAAUUUGGGGUCUUGAGAUAUAAUGAGUUAAUAGGGUGUUUAAUGACUUAAAAUACUCUAUAUAUGUGUAUAAAUACUAUAUUAAACAACCCCUACUUAAAAUAAUUAAAUUAGGAAUUAAUUGGAAACCACUUACCUUGGCCGAAUUGGAGGCAGCUUGUGCAGGCAUGACCUAUGACCUGCCCCCCACGGACCGUGAGUGGAUCCAUGGGGCGUGUUGUAGGUUCGUGUUUCAUGACCUGCAGCUCCUAAUCAUGGCCUUGACCUAUGCCCCAUGACGUACGGGGCGAGGAUGGACCUACGCCCAGUAGGUCCCAUCCAUAGGUCACCACAUUUUUGACAGCUUUUUGGUUCUAGGUAGCCUUGGAGGUUUAGACUUUAGGGUCCUCCUCAAGGACCCUUGGUUGGUCCUUGGGGGGGUCGUACCUUGACUUCUAACUCCUAAACACCUCAACCUAAGCUCGGGAACUCAUUUUACACUUCUAAACCUCCCACCAAACUCAAACACUCUCACCUAAGGCUCUAGUUUCACCUACUAGUUUUCCGGGUUGUUACACUACGGAUCGAAUUAUGGAUUAGGGGAGUUAAAUCCUUACCUUUAGUGCUACAAGAGGUGAAAAAUUGUCAAGAACUUUCCCUAGGUCGUCCCUUAGCUCUGAAGAACGAAACUUGCAGAAUAAUAACAUUUUUUGGGGUUUAUUUCCGACUUAAGUCACGUCUGUCCUGAUGUGGCAGACCUCGAUCAUCCCGCUACAGCUGCCCCGCCCUGGAGGCUUGCACGGAGAUAGAGAGUUAAAUUCAGAGCUUCAAAUCCCCAUGUCACAACACACCUUCAACCCGUGACACUCAGAAAAUACUCGUUCAUGCUAAGAUAAGUUUUGGGAGUUCUACUCGCCCGAAUUUGAUUCUGUAUAGUCGUACGGGUUCCUUAACGUCUUAGCUAUCUACUCAUGUGAUAAAAUUCAUAAUUAAAUCUCUCAUUCGUUACCAGAUUUCCCUAGACCUCACUGAAUCCGAUUUCGUCCAAAUCUGGACUAGGUUAGGAAAUUCUAAGUUACUACCAAAAAGUUUUCUGACCCCAAUUCUUUCCCCAUUGACUUUUCCCUAACGACGGAAUCAGGUCGUUACAAUAUAUAUAUAUAUAUAUAUAUCAAAUCUAAUAGUUUUCAAACUUUAUUACGUGUAUCAUAUGAAUAUCAACUGAUCACCAUUUGUUAUGUAUCAUACACAAAAAAAUGUUAUUUGAAAUAAUUAUAUGUAUAAUGUACCUUUUUAUAAAAUACAGUAUUUCUCAAAUAAAAUAAGAUACAUAAAUAGUAGUAUAUCAUGCAUUAUUUUAUUAGGCAUGAUAUGUAAAUUCAAAUUUAUAAUAAAUGUAUCAGAUACAUAACAAUUACCACACAUACAUGUAUCCAUUAAAGAUAUGUAGCUCUUUAGACUUUUUGUAUGUUGUAUCAAUGCAUAGCGGAUACAUUGAAAAUUAUGGCUCUUGUUUCUUCACCUCAACGAAAUAUCUGAUUUACAAAGUUUUCUUCAACUCAUCGAUCUCUAAUUCAGCUGCAAUUGCUGAUUUGAGAUUCACAAAAUCAAAAUUUGACCAACAACAAUUCCAUCACUGUUAUAUCGUUCAUACCUCACCUCACUUUCUCAUAUUCCGAAAUGUCUCGACAUGAUCGACUAGUUCAUGUUGUAUUAGUACAAUUUGUCAACAAGUUUGAUUAAAAAAUUGAGAGUUUUUUUUUGAAGAAUGAGAAGAAGAUUUUGAAUUUUAAAUUAUGCUAGCCUGUUACAAUUUGUCAAUUAAUGUAUCGAUCUAAAAUCCAAACAGUAAUGUAUCGGUCUAAAAUCAAACACCUUAUGAGCAAUCUUUACUACUUUAAUGUAUCAGGUAGGACUACAAUACUUAGCAAUCUACUAAAUAUUUUAGGAAUAGUUAUGUAUCAUGAGUAAUAUAUCCAUCUCGAGAUCACAAAUUAAAAAAUUGACUGCACAACACAAUACAUGUAAUUUCAUAUCUUUCAUUAUCAGAUCUCUUUACCUGAAGUUAAAGUUAUUAAAAGUAAGGCCAAACACAUAUACAGCCCCUCUAACUUGUCCACAUUUUUCAUUUUGACAUUUUAUCUUAGCCUUGUUCCAUUUUAACCAUUGAACUCCAUUUUUUAUGUUCCAUUUUAACACGAAAUACUAUUUUUAUGAUUUAUUUUUUUUUAUAUAUUAUUCAAUUGCAACUUCUUAUUUUAAAUCGACAUGUGUCAUUUAAUUUUAGUUAAAAAAUUAAAAAUUAACAAAAAAUAAUUCUUUUUAAAAAAUAAUAAUUUCUUUUUAAGAGUGUUAUGUAUUUUUGUGUGAAAAAUAACCGAAGAAAUUGCGUUGGUUUUCUUUCUUUAAAAUCACCGACAACCUAACAAAGUCAGUCGAGUUUUAACAUUGUUUAGUAGUAUUAUUAGCAAUGAACAAGAGUUCUUUUUUUAGUAGUGUUAUUAACAAAAUCAGUCGAGUCUUUUUGAAGAUGGGUUUUUUUAUUCGUAUUGAUUUAUAUUAAAAAUUAAAAGUGAGUAUUUGUGUUAAAUUUAGAUAGCCUAGAUGAUAAGAAAAAAUAAAUAAGUAGUGUUAUUUUAAUUUAAUUGAAUGUUUUAAGAAAAAAAAUCAAAGAACUUUCGUCAAUUUAUUUUCAUGCAAAAAUACAGAGAAAUAUCAAAAAAUAAUAUUAUUGUUUGAAAAUUUUUAUGCUCGUUCACAAAUGUUUAAUUUUUUUAAUUAACAGGCACAUGUCUAUUUUUUUUAAAUAAGAAAUUACAAUUGAAAAACAUAAAUAAAAACAAAUCAUAAAAAUUAGUAUAAGUGUUUAAAUGGUACAGAAAAAAUGGAGUUUAAAGGUUAAAACGGAAUAAGGCUAAGUUGGAGUGCCAAAAUGAAAAAAUGAGGGCAAGUUUGAGGGGCUGUAUAUGUGUUUGGCCUAAAAGUAAUGUACCAUGCACAAUUUUAUGGGCAUGAUACAUAAAUACAUGCAUAAAAGCCAAUACAUAUGAAUCCAUCCAAUUGCUCUAUCAAUGUUGUGUUCUUCUACUUUUUCCAUUUCUUUUACCCUGCAGAAGCAACGAGAGUUUGAGUUCGACAUUUAGUAUACAAGUAUAUAGUCAAUGCCGAUAGAGGAGGAGAGUGCAAUAGAGGCGGCGACUCCGGCGGGAACAAGCAUCAAGCUGCUAUAGCUUUUUUAACAUUUUGGACAUCAAGCAAAAGUAGAUAACAUAAAUGCUAGAUAUUAUUAUAUUCUCAUUGAUGAAUGAAUUUCUCCAGAUAGGGCAUUUGUUGUUCUCCGAUAGCCAAGUGAAUAUGCAACUCCUAUGGAAUACAUGAGAGCACUGUGUGGUCACCGCCAUGAUUGAUUCAUGAGAAAAUUUGCCAAAGCAAAUAGGGCAUAUGUCGUCUGCCAACUCAAAAUUAUGCACAAUAUUCUUUAAUAAUACUUCCCCACUGUCAUAAUUUUCAACAAUUUUAAAUCAUAAUUGAAAGGAUCUUCGAUGAACUGGGAGAAGAAUUUUGAAUCUCAAAAAUUUUGAAUUAUUUUGAAUCAAAAUUGAAAGAAUCUUCGAUGAUCUGGGAGAAUAAUUUUGAAUUUUGGGAAGUUGUUACAUAUUGGAAUGGAUUGAUAUCAAUCAAUUCUGUGUGAUUUGUGGGAAAGAAAACCAAUUUUAUGUUAAUAUUUCAUAUUAAGCGCAACAGACAAGUUUUAUAAUGUAUCACAAUUGAUGUAUCCGGAUAAAAUUUAUGUAUUCGAAUGGCUGAUAUUUUAAGAGAUUUUUGUAAAAUAGAAAAGUGUAGGGACAUGAUGUAAUUUAAGUCUUACACUAUGAGAUUUAGGUAAGUUAUAUUUAAUAUUAUAGUCACACUUUAGUUGUGGGUUAUUAAUCUUAUUAGAAAAUUUUAAUCUUUCGUGAGUGAUGAACUUACAAACAUUGAGGUUGAAGAGAAAAAAUAAUUGUAAUGCUCUUAAUUUAGUAGCUAAACAAAUAAAUACAAUAUAAUUUAUUUAUUUAUAAAUUAUAUAUGGUAUAUACUGAUAUUUUUUAUCUAUAUAAAUGCGAAUGUUGUAAAUAAAUGAAAUCAAAUUAAUGUUAUGAAUAAAAGAGGCCGUUUAUUGAAUUAAAUUUAUAAUUUUCUCAAUGUAUCAAUAAAAAAUUAUUAUUGUCAACCUACCUUUACUUAAACUAUAUUAAUUAUUAUUAAUUAGACGUUAAUAUUAAGUUAUUUAUACAUGAAAAUAGUGCAUAUAAUAUACUAGAGGUGUACAUGGCCAGGUUGGUUCGGGUUUUUCAAAUAUCAAAUCAAACCAUUUGUGUCGGAUUUUUAAAUUUAUAAACCAAACCAAACCAAUAAAACUCGGGUUUUUCAACCUCGGGUUUUUUCGAAUUUUUUGGUUUUUCGGGUUGUUUCUGGUUUUUCCGGUAAAGUAUUCAUACAAACAUAUACUUUACUUGUACUUCAAAUAUUUUUUUAGUCCUAUCUAAGGUGUUUCUUAAAAAAAUAACACAAUAUGAUAUGAUUAAUGACACCAAAAUAUCCAACAAAAAUAAUAAUAAUGAAAUCACGUAAAAUAAAUAUUACAAAUUAACAAGUCAUAAUAAAAAUGAUCAUAAUUUAAAAGUACUAAAUCAUGCUAAAAUAAGUUUAAUAAGUAUUAGUUACAUGACUAAAUAUUAAAGAAAAUUAAAAUUAGAUUAUGUAUUUUAAUUGUCUAAACCAAUAUAAAACUAAAGAACAAAUAUUCAAUAUUAUUGUCAUUCUUAGUGUUGAAUUGAUUUUCUUUUUGCAUUAGUAUUAAUUUGAUUUAGAUUUAAGCUUUAUUAUAAUUACCAACAUUUGUGGACUAUUAUCUUUAUUGGCUCAUUCAUAAUUCUAAGUUUCAAACUCGAAAUAAUAUAUUAAAAGAUAAAAACUAUGAAAAAAUAUAAGAAAUAUUUAANNNNNNNNNNNNNNNNNNNNNNNNNNNNNNNNNNNNNNNNNNNNNNNNNNNNNNNNNNNNNNNNNNNNNNNNNNNNNNNNNNNNNNNNNNNNNNNNNNNNNNNNNNNNNNNNNNNNNNNNNNNNNNNNNNNNNNNNNNNNNNNNNNNNNNNNNNNNNNNNNNNNNNNNNNNNNNNNNNNNNNNNNNNNNNNNNNNNNNNGGUUUUUUUUUCGGUUUGCGGUUUGGUUCGGUUUUCGAUUCGAUUUUGUACACCCCUAUAAGAUACUAUGAUAUGAUUUUCAAAAUAUAGCUUUAGCUAAAAUGGGUUCAUGUGAUAGAAUAAACACGAACAAUCAUUCAAGAAUUAUCAAUGAAUAUGCGAUACAAUAAUUUCAAUAAUAGAAUUCAACAAUGGGAAAUUAGAAUCGUAGGAAAAUUGAAAUCAUAAACUUUGGGGGAAAAUCCCAGUUUUGAUAUUAUUAACUGAAAUUAUAGAUAUAGAGCGUGAGAAAGAACCGAGUUUCUCACUAUGAUAGUCUUGCAUACCUUGAAGAGUAGACAAUAAGCUAGCAGGAAGAACUCUUGAUGGACUUGCUCGAAUGAAACCCUAGAUUUGUCUCUUUUAAGAGAUUUUGUUUCUUGAAGUUUUGGGAAGAAAACAAUGACAAAUCCCUUGAUCUCACAAUCAUUCGGGAAUUAAUUAAAAUUCGAGUGGGGAGGUUUUCAAAGAGGAAAGAACCAAAAUACCCUUAAUUAGAAAAAGUCGAAUGCAUUUUUCACUUAGGAACGGAAGGGUUGUACCUCAUGGAUCAUCGCGGAACCAUAGGGUCACCUCGUGGGCCCCAUCACUGACCUAGGGUGGUUUUCAGCCUCUGUAGUUUAGUUUGGUGACAGGUGUGGUGCGGACCUCAACACAAUGCUUACAUAACUUCUUUCUCACAUAUCAGAUUAAUGAAAUAAUUUGUUGCAUUGGAAAGUAGACUCACAUACCUUUAAUAUGAUAGAUUGCGGGCCACGUUACUCAUUAUUUUCUAAGAUAUAUUCUUAUUUUAAGUUGACCCCUUUUAAAACUUUCAUGUAAACUUUAUUGAUAGGGAAGCUUUGAACUCGACUUAGUGAUAGCGGUUUCUUAUGACCCUAUUUCACAUCUAAUACACUUCUCACACUUAGGAAUUUAACUAGACACUUGUACACAAUUAGGAAAUAAUCCUAUCCAGGCCUAUAAGAUCUUAGCGUAGAAUUUGUGUGGUGUUGCAUUGAUACCUGAUCUUCUAUUACAAAUGCUUUCCCAAAGCACAUCUUUCCCAUGUUCUUGUUUAUACUUGUUGUUUACGAUACUUUUUCAUCAGUUAGUUGGACGGAAAGUGUACUUAGUGACUGAAGAGUGAUUGAGGGACCAUGAUUUCUUUGAGUAGGAGAAGGUUAGGUUUAUAAAUAUUCUCUACUUUUACAGAAUAUCAAGUGGUGAUGUUUGAGUCAACCAUAUUUCAAGAAGAGAUUAAUACUUCACCUAUGUUAAAAUUUGAUAAAUAUUGUAUAGACAUUCUAAAUAUGGGUAGAGUAUAUAUUUAAAUGUAUUAAGUAUGGUACAGUAUAUAUUUAGAUAUUAUAGGUAUUUUAUUUCCUUUUGCUUCUUAACUUCUUGUGUAUAAAUAUGGUUGUAGUCUCUUUUAUUCAUUGAUGAAUAAAAUUAUUAAUUCUCCAGAUUUUCUUGUGUUUCUCUGUCUUGUUUUGCAGCAUGGUAUCAGAGCCUCCUCGGAUUUUUGAAAUCCAUAUUCACUAUUCUAUUUAUCUCGUGGUAUUUUGUUGAUAGCAAUUACUGCUUCAUCACUUUGUUGGGUCUCUUCUGUCUUUCAGUUUUGUCUUCAUUUUUUUUGGUUUGUUGACAUUAAUUUUUUGAGUGAAUAUCAUGGAAAAGAAUCAUAUUUCUCAACCUAUUUUCAUUGUUCUAAAUGGAUCUAACUAUCGCCAUUGGUGUGAGGCAAUGCGUAUUUUUUUGAAAGGGAGAAAGUUGUGGCGAUAUGUCACAUGUGAUUUAACCUAUCCAAAGCAAACUGAGACUGAAACAAAUGAAAAGUUUGUUAAUCAUUUAGAAGAUUGGGAUAGCCGAAAUCAUCAAAUUAUUACAUGGCUUCAAAAUACUUCUGUUCCAAGUAUUCACCUCCAAUUUGGACAAUUCGACACCACAAAAGAGGUAUGGGAUCAUCUCUCUCAACGAUAUACUACUUCUGAUCUUUCUCAUCGUUUUCAAUUGAUGAAGGAGAUAGCUAGCUUGAAACAAGAAAAGGGAGAACCUGUCUAUGAAUUUCUCUCGAAGAUGGAAUCCAUCUAGAAUCAAUUAACCUUGACUGAACCCAUUCUUAGAAAUUUUGAUGCUGCUGCUCAAUUUUUAGCUUACCGCAACGAUGAUAAAUUGAUUCAAUUCUUGAUGGCUCUUACUGUUGAUUAUGAACCAACUCGGACUACAUUGCUUAACCAACAACCUUUGCUAACUCUUGAAGAUGCUCUUCCUCGCCUAAAAUCUGAAGAAACUCAUUUGGAUCUUACGCGACCAGUGGAUAACUCAGUUUUUACAGCCACUAACAGAAUUGGUGCCAAAUUUUGUCGCAAUUGUCGUCAAACUGGUCAUGCCUUACACGACUACCCAGUUAUUGAAUGUAAUAAAUGUAAGAAAAAGGGACAUAUAUCUAGGAAUUGUCCUCCAAUUUGCAGGUACUGUAAAAAGGAAGAUCACUUGAUUGAGAAUUGUCCUACUCGUCCUCAGAACAAAAAUCAAUCGCAUUUGAAUUAGUCAUCAAAUCUAGUUCUUGCAGUAACCAACAAUUCUGGAACUUCAUCAAUUGACCUUCAAGCUCUCCUUAGUCAACUCCUUUCUCCAACUGGUAACAAUCUUGCAGCUCUAGUUACUCCUUCAGGUAAUUCAUCUUAGUACUUUGAUUCAGCAUGUUGCAAUCACAUGACGUAUUCUUCCAAGAUUUUCUCUGACCUGGCUACAAUUCCUAGCCCAUCAUCCAUUCAUACUACUGAUGGACCUAAUAUGAAUGUUAGUCAUAAAGGAUCUAUUUUUUCAUCAGAUCUCUCUUUUCCUGAUACUUUUCUUAUUUCAAGUUAAAUUUUUAAUCUUAUCUCUGUUGGACAAUUAUGUGAUUUGGGAUAUGAUAUAAUUUUUUCUUCUCGUGGUUGUUGAGUGCAGGACCUUCAGACAGGACAAAUCAUUGGGAAAGGCCGUAAAGUUAGGCGUAUGUUUGAACUCACUAGUCUUCAUAUUUAUAUUCCCCAAUCAUCUCCCGUGUCUCGAUUAUGUGUUGUUUCUUCUAGUGUUCCUUUGUCAUUAUGGCAUCAACGUUUUUGUCAUUGUUCUUUGAGUAAACUUCGUUCUUUAGUUUCUAGUGGGUUUUUAGGUAAUGUUAAUGAGAAAAGUUUGGAUUGUAUUGCAUGUAAACAGGCCAAACAACCUACUUUACCUUUUAAUAAAAAUCCUUCUAUUUCAAAGUUUCCUUUUGAUUUAAUACAUUCUGAUGUUUGGGGACCCUCCCUUGUACCAAGCAUGAUUGGAUCACGAUACUUUGUCGUUUUUAUUGAUUAUUUUUCCUAAUUCACAUGGAUAUAUCUUAUGAAAAAUCGUUCGGAACUACCUCAAAUCUAUAUUAAUUUUAUCAAUAUGGUUAAAACUCAAUUUGGUAAAAUUAUCAAAGUUUUUAGGCGUGACAAUGCCAUGGAAUAUCGUGAUUCUAAACUUUUGAAUUUCUUAUAUGUAAAUGGUACACUUUCUGAAUUCUCUUGUCCCGGUACCUCCCAACAAAAUGGACGAGCUGAACGUAAGCAUAGGCAUAUUCUUGAUUUUGUUCAGGCCAUGAUUAUUUAUUCACGUUGCCCUGAGCGCUUUUGGGGUGAAGCAGCUCUUACUGCAGUGUUUACUAUCAAUAGAAUCCCAUCUUCUGUUCUUGGAAACAUGUCUCCUUAUGAACGUCUUUACAAGGUAGCUCCUGACUACACAUUACUUAAAGUAUUUGGCUCUUCUUGUUUUGUUCUUCUUCAACCACAUGAACACACAAAAUUAGAACCUCGUGCUCAAGUUUGUUUCUUUCUAGGAUAUGGGAUAGAAUAUAAAGGUUACUGUUGUUGGGAUCCUGUGUCAAAUAGCAUUCGUAUUUCUCAGCAUGUUAUUUUUUAGGAACAUAUUAAAUUUUCCUCAUUGUCAAAGUUUGAAUCUGUUCCAUCAAGCGAAGUGACAUUCUUUUCUAAUCCUUCUGUUGAGCUUUUUCAAAGUGAUUUUAAUACAGGUUCAUCUAGUGAGUCAGACAUUGCACCUAAUGGUUCACCUAUUUCCCUUGAUGCAGGUCCAACUAAUGGUCCAGUUCAUGAAAGUAGUACGACAUCCAAUUCUCAUGAUCAAUCUCCAAUUGAUAGUUACACUCUAGAUAUGAAUGUUGAUUUUGAGGUACCCUCAUCUUCUCUUCUUCCUAAUAACACUUCAUCUAUCCGUCAACAAAGAGAGAAAAAAUCCUCAUAGUUAUCUUCGUGAUUAUCAAUGUUAUUGCACCAUGCUUAAUUUACAUGAGCGUGGUACAUACAAAGAGGCAUCCAGUGAUCCGUGUUGGCAGUAAGCUAUGAAAGAAGAGUUGCAGGCCUUUGAAAAAACUCAUACUUGGGACUUAGUUGACCCUCCUUUUGAUAAAAACUCUUGUUGAUUGCAAAUGGAUCUAUAAGAUCAAGACACGAUCUGAUGGCUCUGUUGAAAGAUUCAAGGCUUGAUUAGUUGCUCGAGGAUUCACCCAGGAGUAUGGAAUUGAUUAUGAGGAGACCUUUGCUCCAGUAGCUCGUGUUACCUCUGUUCGUGCCCUUCUUUCUAUUGCGGCAGCUAAACGGUGGGGACUUUCUCAAAUGGAUGUUAAAAAUGAUUUUCUUAAUGGAGAUUUGGAGGAAGAGGUUUAUAUGAAACCUCCACCAGUAUACAAUUAUCCUCCAAAUAAAGUAUGUCGUCUGCGAUCGGAAAGGAAUAAGGCCCGAAAUGCCUAUGUCGAAAGAAAAGAUAGUCUUUAAGUGAAUGCACCCGGUUCUGGCCUUGAGGUCCAGCGGAUCAAUCCAGAAUUGGGGAUCCCCUCGAUAUCUUUCUUUCUUGUGAUUCAAUCACGACGGAUAUCUAGUCAACUGCGGUUACGCUUACACCAAGAACCCCUAUGAAGAGAUUGUCCACUCUUUGUUUUGUAAAGUAGGGUGGCUGGGUGCUUUAAAUAAGAAGAUUUCAAAAAAAGUUGCAGAGAACAAUAUGAACUGAGGCAAUCUUUCCAACGGGUUCAAACUGGACUGAAGGGAGGAGGAAAAAAAAGAGUCCUCUCUUCUGUGCAUUAUAUGGUUUGAAACGAGCUCCACGAGCUUGGUAUGCAAAGUUUAGUUCAACAUUGAGCAAAUUGGGAUUCUCUUCUAGCCCAUAUGAUACUGUUCUUUUUGUACGCAAGACAACACAAGGUAUUGUUCUUUUGAUUCUUUAUGUGGAUGAUAUGAUUAUUACUGGUGAUGAUACUACUGGUAUUUCCGAGGUUAAAGAAUUUUUUAGUACUAAUUUUGAGAUGAAGGAUUUGAGGUCUCUAAACUAUUUCUUGGGCUUCGAAGUUCUCACAUAUGAUAAUGGGAUUUCUCUAUCUCAAGUUAAAUAUGCUACAGAUUUGUUAUCAAAAGCAGGUAUUAGCGAUGAUAAAAUUGAGAGCACACCUCUUGAGCCUAAUGUGCGAUUUUCUCCAACCGAUGGUACUUUCUUGUCUAAUGCCAUUCUUUAUCGAACACUUGUAGGUAGUCUUAUCUAUCUAACAGUUACUCGUCCAGAUAUUGCUUAUGUUGUUCACAUAGUUAGUCAAUUCAUGGUUGCACCACUAUUAAAAAGCUGCUAAAAAACGACGGACAGCAUCGCUCCAAAAAGCAACGCCAUUUGCCACAUUGUCUGUCGCUUUUUAAUAAAAAUAAUUAUUUUUUAAAUUAUUUGUCAAAAAGCGACAGACACAUCUCUUAGUCCGUAUCUUUUUUUUGCGGAUUUUUGCGCCAAAUAUAUAUAUAAUUAAUAAUUAAUUGAUUAAUUAUUUUUUUAAAGGAGCAAUGGACAGCAUCUUUAAGUUCGUCGCUUUUUGGUCAACAUGACUGGUCAAACAUUUAAGAAAAGCGACGGAUAGCAUCUCUUAGUCCAUCGCUUUUUAUGUCAAAAUUUUGGUCAAAUAUUUUUUUUAAAAGCGACGGACAAAGAGACGUUGUCCGUCGCUUUUCUUAAAAUAUCUUUGACCCAGAUCGGGAUUUUCUUAUUUUCUUCUCUCUCUUCUCUCUUCACUUUUAUUCUCUCCCUUCUCUCUAUCGAUCUCCCUCCACCGGCCGCCCGUCGCUGCCUCUCCUCUUUGUUAAGGUUGGUGUUUAAUUUUAGGUUUUUUCAAUUCUAGUGAUUAUAGUUGAUUGUUAGUUAGUAUAUUACUUUUUUAGUUUGUUGGGUUGUGUUAUUGUUAAUUUGAUUUGAUUAUUGUUAGUUAGGUAGAGAAUUGGAGAUUUUUUAUUUAACGGUUUUCUUUUAAAUUGGGUAUUGUAAUUAGUGAAUGAAUUAGGUUUUUUAUUUAUUUUAGGACUAGUUUCAACUUGAGAAUAUAUAACUUGAUUGUGAAUUGAGAUUUUUUUUAAAUUUGAUUGAUAUAUUGUUAGUUAGUAAAGUGUUACUUUGAAGUUAGAAAUUAGUAAUUGAAGUACUGUAUAUGAUGAAUAUUUGAAUGUCAUGACUACAUAGUGAUGAAUGUUUGAAUGUCAUGAACAUAUAUUGAUCGAUGAGGGUUUUUUGAAUUAGAACUUGAAUAUAUAACUAAUUGUUGGAUUAGAAGUUUAUAUAUAACUAGAUAUGAACUUGAAGUUGAACUUGAACUUGGAACUUAAAUAUAACUAAUUAAUUCUUGGAUUAGAAGUUUAUAUAUAACUAAUUUUAGAAAUUGGAUAUGAAUUAUUGAAUUUAAGUAGAACUUGAAUUUUUGUAGGAUUUUAGAACUUUAANNNNNNNNNNNNNNNNNNNNNNNNNNNNNNNNNNNNNNNNNNNNNNNNNNNNNNNNNNNNNNNNNNNNNNNNNNNNNNNNNNNNNNNNNNNNNNNNNNNNNNNNNNNNNNNNNNNNNNNNNNNNNNNNNNNNNNNNNNNNNNNNNNNNNNNNNNNNNNNNNNNNNNNNNNNNNNNNNNNNNNNNNNNNNNNNNNNNNNNNNNNNNNNNNNNNNNNNNNNNNNNNNNNNNNNNNNNNNNNNNNNNNNNNNNNNNNNNNNNNNNNNNNNNNNNNNNNNNNNNNNNNUAUUGUAGGAUUUUAGAACUUUAGAAAUCUGAAUUAUUUUAGGAUUUUAGAACUUUAAGUUGUGAACUUUAGAGAACUUGAAUUUUUGUAGGAUUUUAGACUUUAUAAGGUUGUCAGCGUUAAAAAUCUUGAAUUAUUGUAGGAUUUUAGAACUUAAAGUUGUGAACUAUAGAGAACUUGAAUUUUUGUAGGAUUUUAGACUUUAUAAGGUUGUCAGCGUUAAAAAUCUUGAAUUAUUGUAGGAUUUUAGAACUUUAAGUUGUGAACUUUAGAGAACUUGAAUUUUUGUAGGAACUUUAGGUUAUGAAACGUUAGAAAUCUUAAAUUAUUAUAAAAUUUUAGAACUUUAGAACUUUAAGUUGUGAAUUUUAGAGAACUUAAAUCUUUGUAGGAUUUUAGAAUUUUAGGUUAUGAACUUUAGAGAACUUGAAUUAGGAUUUUAGAACUUUAUAAGAUUGUAAAUGUUAGAAAUUUUGAAUUAUUGUAGGAUUUUAGAACUUUAAAAUGUGAACUUCAAAGAACUUGAAUUUUUGUAGGAUUUUAGAACUUUAUAAGGUUGUGAGCGUUAGAAAUUUUGAAUUAUUGUAGGAAUUUAAACUUUACGUCGUGAACUUUAGAAAUCUUGAAUUAUUGUGGAAUUUUUAGAACUUUAAGUUGUGAACUUUAGAGAACUUGAAUUUUUGUAGGAACUUUAGGUUGUAAAACGUUAGAAGUCUUGAAUUAUUGUAGAAUUUUAGAACUUUAAGUUAUGAAUUUUAGAAAACUUGAAUUUUUGUAGGAUUUUAGAACUUUAAGUUGUGAACUUUAGAGAACUUGAAUUAUUGUAGGAUUUUAGAACUUUAGGUUGUGAACUUUAGAAAUCUUGAAUUAUUUUAGGAUUUUAGAACUUUAGGUUGUGAACUUUAGAAAUCUUGAAUUAUUUUAGGAUUUUAGAACUUUAGGUUGUGAACUUUAGAAAUCUUGAAUUAUUUUAGGAUUUUAGAACUUUAAGUUGUGAACUUUAGAAAUUUUGAAUUAUUGUAGGAAUUUAAACUUUACGUCGUGAACUUUAGAAAUCUUGAUUUAUAAAAUUUAUGAACUAAUUAUUAGGUUGAAUUUUAGAAAUCUUGAUAAAAUAUAGUCUUUAUGAACUUUUUGUAAUUUUGAAACGAAUUUUGAAAGACUUUAUAAGUCUUUAAAUUGUGAUUUAGAUAUUUUUGAAUGUUAAUUUAAGUUUGUUGUUUUAUAUUUUGUGUAGGUUCUUUUUAAUGUUUUGUGUUUGAUUGAGGCUGAAUUGAAUUGAAUUGAAUUGCUUGCAAGUGAGGAGGCCAGUUUCUGCUGUCAAAAAAAUUACAUAAAAAGUGACGGACAGGGUGGUUUUGUCCGUCGCUUUUUUUAAUUUUAUUUUUUUUAAACCUAGAAAAGCGACUGAUAGAAUCCUUUAGUUCGUCGCUUUUUUGGAUUUUUCAAAAUUUUAUUUCCAAAAAAGCGCCGGAUGGCAUCUCAUUGUCCGUCGCUUUUCAAGAUUCUAAAAAAAUUAAAUAUUAAUUAAAGCGAUGGACUUCGUCUCUUUUUUAAAAAAUUUUAAAAAAAAGAAGCGACGGACGGCGUCGCAUUCUUCAAAAAAAUCAAAAGCGAUGGGGUCCGUCGCUUUUGGAAAAGUGUCUAGCCAAAAAGCGACAAGAUUGACUGUGUCGCUUUUCCGUCGCUUUUGGCCAAAAAAGCGACACAGUUCGUUGCUUUUUUCCAUCUCUUUUUGGCAGAUUUUAGUAGUGACCUCUCUCUACUCAUUAUGCUGUUGUUCUGCGAAUUCUUAGUUAUGUCAAAAGUACUAUGUUCCAUGGACUUCACUUUUCAGCCAAUUCUUCUCUUGAAUUAAAAGCAUAUGCUGAUGCUGAUUGGGGACGUGAUCCCGUUGAUAGACAUUCUACUAGUGGUUAUUUUAUUUUUCUAGGAGAUUCUCUUAUAUCGUGGAGAAGCAAGAAACAAACCUUAGCAUCCCGAUCAAGUACUGAAUCAGAAUAUCGCGCACUUGCUGAUACUACUGCUGAGAUAUUGUGGCCUCGUUGGUUAUUUGGCUGACAUGAGUGUCCCUCAUGAGCGUACAAAGCAUACUGAGAUUGAUUGUCAUUUUACUUGUCAGCACAUUGAUCUUGGUGCCAUUCGAUUAGCUUCUAUUUGAUCCUUAGAUCAACCAGCUGAUGUUUUCACCAAGCCUCAUCUUCCUAGACGUUUCCAAGUUCUGGUGGCCAAACUCAAUCUGAUUUCUUCUAAACCAUCUUGAGUUUGAGGGGGGAUGUUAAAAUUCGGUAAAUAUUGUAUAGACAUUCUAACUAUGGGUAGAGUAUAUAUUUAAAUAUAUUAAGUAUGGUAAAGUAUACAUUUAGACAUUAUAGGUAUUUUAUUUCCUUUUGCUUCUUAACUUCUUGUGGCAUGGCUGAAAUUAGAGGUGUCAAAUAGGGGGGUUGGGAUGAUAUUGGAGAUAUUAAAAUGGAAUGAAAUGGAAAUUGGGUUGGGUUCUGAUCUGCCAAGUUUACUUUGGGCUCAAAUAGGCUUAAAAGCGGGUUGGGUCUUGAUUCACCCAAUUUGACCCACUUAAUCUCAAUAAUUUUAAUAUAUUGUUAUUUUAGUAUUAUAACCACAAUUUGAAUUUUAACUCAAGAAUUUUAUUUUUUUUAAAGUUACAAUGGAUAGAUAAAUCCUAAAAGAUAUAAAAUAGAUUGUAAUUCAUACCUUCAAUAUAGUAACAUACAUUGCAUCAAUGAAAAUAAAUAGUCUUAAAACGGGUUGAAAUUGGAAAUUAAAUUGACCUCAAUUGAGGAUUCUCUUAAAAUGGGUCAAGACUUGAUGAGUUGAGAUUGAACUCAAUUCAAAUUAUUUUGAACCCAACUCUUAAAAUUAUGGGCGGCUUACCUAUAGUUAGGCUCAUUUUUUACGCCCCUAGCUGAAAUACAUUAAUUAUUCUGUAAAAUAUAUUACCCUUAUACCUUAUAUAUUAGCCAACAAGAAAAGGACUAACAUUGCAGUACUUGAUUGUACCUCAUGCUAUGUGAGUUGUACUAUAUGUUUUUCUCUUUUGAAGUGGGAGUUAAGGUGUACUAUAAGCUAAGAGAAGUGUACUUUAAAGUUGAGCCCUUUUUUUAUUCCUUUUUCUAUUAAACAUGUGUAUUACUCUUUGUUUUACACGUGUAGUGGUGAUUUUCUCUUUAUGAGAUAAAUUUAUUUCUCUUCCUUCUCUCAUUCAUAAACAAAUAAAAAUAAAUAAAUUUAUUUCUCUUCCUUCUUUCCUCUAGGAUUUCACUAAUGCUAUCUUGAAUGUUGUAUUUCUCUCUCUCUUUUUCUUUUUUGUAUUUGCAUUUUCGGAAUUCUUUGUUUGCUUGCAUCUGAUUAAGACUUUUAGAUGAAUGAUGGGUGUAUAUUAUUUUUUUUCAAUUUGAUAUAACUGCAGAUAAUGGUCCAAUUGAUUUUAUUUAAUUUUCAUUCUCAAUCCAAAUAUCUUCUCCUAAACUUCACCACCUCUUUCUUCUCCAUUAAUUUUUCAGAUUUGCUCCUAAUUUCAUUGUUUGCUCGGCCUUCAAUACUUGCAAGUAAGCAUUUCUUAUUCUUUUAUAUAAUUUCUUGCUGAAUAUUCUUAUAUAUGCACAUGCAUGUUAAUGUAAAUGUUGAAUGUGAAAUUUGGGACAUUAGGACAGUUGACCAAACAAGUGAAAUGAUAAAACUAGCAACUUUAAAAAAUUAUUACAUAACUCUCCCCAUGGAAUUGAUACUAAG
RNAcentral lists this long non-coding RNA (23584 nucleotides) under Solanum tuberosum (potato). Its description in RNAcentral is "long non-coding RNA (STUB_LNC005796)". Lineage: Eukaryota; Viridiplantae; Streptophyta; Magnoliopsida; Solanales; Solanaceae. The record is from RNAcentral.